GACGAACGCUGGCGGCGUGCCUAAUGCAUGCAAGUCGAACGCACUCGACCUUCGGGUCACAUGGGUGAGUGGCGAACGGGUGAGUAACACGUGAGAAACCUACCCCGAAGUUCGGAAUAACUCAGGGAAACUUGAGCUAAUACCGGAUGCCCUCCUUACAUCGAAUGAUGUGCUGAGGAAAGAUUUAUCGCUUCGGGACGGUCUCGCGGCCUAUCAGCUAGUUGGUGAGGUAACGGCUCACCAAGGCAUUGACGGGUAGCUAGUCUGAGAGGACGAAUAGCCACACUGGGACUGAGACACGGCCCAGACUCCUACGGGAGGCUG
RNAcentral lists this ribosomal RNA (324 nucleotides) under uncultured Actinomycetes bacterium. Its description in RNAcentral is "bacterial SSU rRNA". It matches the Rfam family "Bacterial small subunit ribosomal RNA", at positions 28 to 351 of the family's 1533-position model. Lineage: Bacteria; Bacillati; Actinomycetota; Actinomycetes. The record is from RNAcentral.